Molecule: non-coding RNA, 551 nt
Organism: Taeniopygia guttata (zebra finch)
Lineage: Eukaryota; Metazoa; Chordata; Aves; Passeriformes; Estrildidae
Source: RefSeq, a predicted model, not a curated record
GGGGCGGCGGAGAGCGGCUGGCUCCCUCACGGGAUCGGUGCUGUUCUUUCCGAAGUCACUAGUUCGCUAAAUCAACAAUGAUGUGUCCAGAGCAGCUCCCUUGAAAGUGGGCACAUAUGACCAGCAUCAUUAAAGGUACAGACGGGGCUGAAGUGAAAGCCUCCCACUUAAGAGGACUUCGGAUUAAAAAAAAAAAAAGAAAACAGCCAAUUUGAUAAUAAGUUAACUAAAAGGUCUGGGAAAGGAAAGUGAGGAUAUGUUGGAUUUGCAAAGCUGGACUGAAGCUGCAUCAUACCUGGUCACGUUCUCCACCUCCUUCUUCAUUAUAAUUGAAGACAUUUUCUCUAACAUCUUCCCAGCUUUCACGCUCUUCAGGAAUGUGGUAAAUUCCUCCUUUCCGAAACCCUGAACUUCCCCACUGACUCCACACUGUGUAGGAAACCAAGAGUGCUGAAAGAAAUAAAGACAAAUAUUUGUUAUAUGAUGUAUGACAAAGUAUGUUGCAUGAUAAGCAAGUUAUUAUUAAAUCAACUCUUAAUUUGACAACUAAA